RNAcentral lists this transfer RNA (73 nucleotides) under Stegodyphus mimosarum. It matches the Rfam family "tRNA". From Rfam's summary of the family: Transfer RNA (tRNA) molecules are approximately 80 nucleotides in length. Their secondary structure includes four short double-helical elements and three loops (D, anti-codon, and T loops). The record is from Rfam by way of RNAcentral. Lineage: Eukaryota; Metazoa; Arthropoda; Arachnida; Araneae; Eresidae.
GCGUUCGUUGUGUAAUGUGGAGCACACUUGACGCGUAUUCGAGAGGUCACAGGUUCGAAUCCUGGCGAGGGCA